RNAcentral lists this ribosomal RNA (417 nucleotides) under Triticum aestivum (bread wheat). Its description in RNAcentral is "partial small subunit ribosomal RNA". Lineage: Eukaryota; Viridiplantae; Streptophyta; Magnoliopsida; Poales; Poaceae. The record is from RNAcentral.
AUGGCCGCCGGCCACACUGCCCACGCCGCCGUCCUAUGCCAGGUCCGGCCACCGCCCUAUGCCACGUCGCUCCCCCCCUCCGCGGUUGCUGCUAGUAGGAGCUCGCCGGAGCCCCUGGCCGGCUCCUCCCGCGUCCUCUGCCUCGCCGCCGGAGCCGGCAACGCCGUCGACGCGCUCCAUGCAGCGGGGGUAAGCGAAGUGACCGGGAUCGACCUCGUGGACUUCCCGCCGCUCGUUCGUCGCGCAGACCCCCAUCGCCUCCCAUUCUCUGACGGCGCCUUCGAUCUCAUCUUUUCCGACGACCCGGCGGGGAUCUCCGGCGCGCUCUUCCCGGCUCGCGUCGCCGCGGAGGCCGAGCGCGCUGUCCGCCGCGGAGGCGCCAUCGCCCUCGCCGUGGAGCUCGCCGGCCCGCCAUAG